Molecule: transfer RNA, 63 nt
Filed under: Rasbora ennealepis
Lineage: Eukaryota; Metazoa; Chordata; Actinopteri; Cypriniformes; Danionidae
Description: tRNA-Phe
Rfam family: tRNA
About the family: Transfer RNA (tRNA) molecules are approximately 80 nucleotides in length.
Source: RNAcentral
GUAGCUUAAUAAAAAGCAUAGCACUGAAAAUGCUAAGAUGGGUACUAGAAACCCCCGCACGCA